RNAcentral lists this ribosomal RNA (253 nucleotides) under uncultured bacterium. RNAcentral describes it as "partial 16S ribosomal RNA". It matches the Rfam family "Bacterial small subunit ribosomal RNA", at positions 524 to 776 of the family's 1533-position model. The record is from RNAcentral.
UACGUAGGGUGCGAGCGUUGUCCGGAAUUAUUGGGCGUAAAGAGCUCGUAGGCGGUUUGUUGCGUCGGCCGCGAAAACCUGCAGCUUAACUGUGGGCCUGCGGCCGAUACGGGCAGACUUGAGUUCGGUAGGGGAGACUGGAAUUCCUGGUGUAGCGGUGAAAUGCGUAGAUAUCUGGAGGAACACCGGUGGCGAAGGCGGCAUCCUGGACCAACACUGACGCUGAUGAGCGAAAGCCAGGGGAGCAAACGGG